AUUGAACGCUGGCGGCAUGCUUUACACAUGCAAGUCGAACGGUAACAGGCCGCAAGGUGCUGACGAGUGGCGAACGGGUGAGUAAUGCAUCGGAACGUGCCCAGUCGUGGGGGAUAACGCAGCGAAAGCUGCGCUAAUACCGCAUACGAUCUAUGGAUGAAAGCGGGGGACCGUAAGGCCUCGCGCGAUUGGAGCGGCCGAUGUCAGAUUAGGUAGUUGGGGGGGUAAAGGCUCACCAAGCCAACGAUCUGUAGCUGGUCUGAGAGGACGACCGGACACACUGGGACUGGGACACGGCCCAGACUCCUACGGGAGGCAGCAGUGGGGAAUUUUGGACAAUGGGCGCAAGCCUGAUCCAGCAAUGCCGCGUGCAGGAAGAAGGCCUUCGGGUUGUAAACUGCUUUUGUACGGAACGAAACGGUCCGGGUUAAUACCCUGGGCUAAUGACGGUACCGUAAGAAUAAGGACCGGCUAACUACGUGCCAGCAGCCGCCGUAA
This 498-nucleotide ribosomal RNA is filed under the name uncultured bacterium. Its description in RNAcentral is "partial 16S ribosomal RNA". It matches the Rfam family "Bacterial small subunit ribosomal RNA", at positions 29 to 523 of the family's 1533-position model. The record is from RNAcentral.